UACGAAGGGGGCUAGCGUUGCUCGGAAUGACUGGGCGUAAAGGGCGCGUAGGCGGAUGGCACAGUCAGAUGUGAAAUUCCCGGGCUUAACCUGGGGGCUGCAUUUGAUACGUGUUGUCUUGAGUUCGGAAGAGGGUCGUGGAAUUCCCAGUGUAGAGGUGAAAUUCGUAGAUAUUGGGAAGAACACCGGGUGCGAAGGCGGCGACCUGGUCCGACACUGACGCUGAGGCGCGAAAGCGUGGGGAGCAAACAGG
This 253-nucleotide ribosomal RNA is filed under the name uncultured bacterium. Its description in RNAcentral is "partial 16S ribosomal RNA". It matches the Rfam family "Bacterial small subunit ribosomal RNA", at positions 524 to 776 of the family's 1533-position model. The record is from RNAcentral.